RNAcentral lists this ribosomal RNA (470 nucleotides) under uncultured bacterium. RNAcentral's name for it is "bacterial SSU rRNA". It matches the Rfam family "Bacterial small subunit ribosomal RNA", at positions 335 to 799 of the family's 1533-position model. The record is from RNAcentral.
ACUCCUACGGGAGGCAGCAGUGAGGAAUAUUGGUCAAUGGAGGCAACUCUGAACCAGCCAUGCCGCGUGCAGGAAGACUGCCCUAUGGGUUGUAAACUGCUUUUAUACAGGAAGAAACAGUCGUACGAGUACGACCUUGACGGUACUGUAGGAAUAAGCACCGGCUAACUCCGUGCCAGCAGCCGCGGUAAUACGGAGGGGUGCAAGCGUUAUCCGGAAUCAUUGGGGUUUAAAGGGUCCGCAGGCGGUCAAUUAAGUCAGAGGUGAAAUCCCAUAGCUUAACUAUGGAACUGCCUUUGAUACUGGUUGACUUGAGUUAUACGGAAGUAGAUAGAAUAAGUAGUGUAGCGGUGAAAUGCAUAGAUAUUACUUAGAAUACCGAUUGCGAAGGCAGUCUACUACGUAUAUACUGACGCUCAUGGACGAAAGCGUGGGGAGCGAACAGGAUUAGAUACCCUGGUAGGAUAGCG